UGGGGAAUAUUGCGCAAUGGGGGCAACCCUGACGCAGCAACGCCGCGUGCGGGAAGAAGGCAUUCGUGUCGUAAACCGCUUUCAGCAGGGAAGACAUCGACGGUACCUGCAGAAGAAGCCCCGGCUAACUACGUGCCAGCAGCCGCGGUAAUACGUAGGGGGCGAGCGUUAUCCGGAUUCAUUGGGCGUAAAGCGCGCGCAGGCGGCGCGCCAAGCGGGACCUCUAACCCCGGGGCUCAACCCCGGGCCGGGUCCCGAACUGGCGCGCUCGGGUGCGGUAGAGGAGAGCGGAAUUCCCGGUGUAGCGGUGGAAUGCGCAGAUAUCGGGAAGAACACCGAUGGCGAAGGCAGCUCUCUGGGCCGUCACCGACGCUGAGGCGCGAAAGCCGGGGGAGCGAACAGG
This 403-nucleotide ribosomal RNA is filed under the name uncultured bacterium. Its description in RNAcentral is "bacterial SSU rRNA". It matches the Rfam family "Bacterial small subunit ribosomal RNA", at positions 355 to 776 of the family's 1533-position model. The record is from RNAcentral.